Molecule: ribosomal RNA, 372 nt
Filed under: uncultured bacterium
Lineage: Bacteria
Description: bacterial SSU rRNA
Rfam family: Bacterial small subunit ribosomal RNA
Source: RNAcentral
ACAGAGAGUGCAAACGUUGUUCGGAAUUACUGGGCUUAAAGCGCACGUAGGCGGCGUCGUAAGUGUCAGGUGAAAUCCCACGGCUCACCCGUGGAACUGCCUGGCAGACUGCGAUGCUAGAGUGUGGUAGGGGAGAGCGGAACUCUUGGUGGAGCGGUGAAAUGCGUAGAUAUCAAGAGGAACACCGGUGGCGAAGGCGGCUCUCUGGUCCACAACUGACGCUGAGGUGCGAAAGCUAGGGGAGCAAACGGGAUUAGAUACCCCGGUAGUCCUAGCUGUAAACGAUGGGCACUAGCUUGGGGUCUCCCUGUGUGAUCCCAGGUGUAGCAAAAGUGAUAAGUGCCCCGCCUGGGGAGUAUGGUCGCAAGGCUG